GAUGAACGCUAGCUACAGGCUUAACACAUGCAAGUCGAGGGGAAACGAUAUUGGAAGCUUGCUUCCGAUAGGCGUCGACCGGCGCACGGGUGAGUAACGCGUAUCCAACCUGCCCAUCACUUGGGGAUAACCUUGCGAAAGUAAGACUAAUACCCAAUGAUAUCUCAAGAAGACAUCUGAAUGAGAUUACAGAUUUAUCGGUGAUGGAUGGGGAUGCGUCUGAUUAGCUUGUUGGCGGGGUAACGGCCCACCAAGGCGACGAUCAGUAGGGGUUCUGAGAGGAAGGUCCCCCACAUUGGAACUGAGACACGGUCCAAACUCCUACGGGAGGCAGCAGUGAGGAAUAUUGGUCAAUGGGCGAGAGCCUGAACCAGCCAAGUAGCGUGCAGGAUGACGGCCCUAUGGGUUGUAAACUGCUUUUAUAAGGGAAUAAAGUGAGCCUCGUGAGGCUUUUUGCAUGUACCUUAUGAAUAAGGACCGGCUAAUUCCGUGCCAGCAGCCGCAGUAA
Molecule: ribosomal RNA, 508 nt
Filed under: uncultured bacterium
Lineage: Bacteria
Description: partial 16S ribosomal RNA
Rfam family: Bacterial small subunit ribosomal RNA
Source: RNAcentral